GAUGAAGAACGCAGCGAAAUGCGAUAAGUAGUGUGAAUUGCAGAGUUCCGUGAAUCAUCGAAUCUUUGAACGCACAUUGCGCCUUCUGGUAUUCCGGAAGGCAUGCCUGUUCGAGAGUCAUUAACAACCGUUUCGAUCCCUUUCUUUCAGAAAUUACAAAGAGGAAAAGGGUUUGGUUAUGGUGGAGGAGGGAAAGGGAGCGUUUAGCCUGUAAAAAAAGAGGCUGUGUUCCGCCUCCCCCCCAAAAUUGUACAGGCGGUCGUGUGCGCCCACGCAUCGAGGUGUUGUAAAAGCUGCCACGGCACUUUUCACCUGUGCAGUGCGAGAUUGGCCAGCCGGUUUAAAAACCCCUCCAAACAAUCAAAGGUUGACCUCGGAUCAGGUAGGGAUACCCGCUGAACUUAAGCAUAUCAAUAAGCGGAGGA
RNAcentral lists this unclassified non-coding RNA (425 nucleotides) under soil metagenome. RNAcentral describes it as "partial contains 5.8S ribosomal RNA, internal transcribed spacer 2, and large subunit ribosomal RNA". The stretch from base 1 to 120 matches the Rfam family "5.8S ribosomal RNA", at positions 35 to 154 of the family's 154-position model. The record is from RNAcentral.